GGAGUUUGAUCAUGGCUCAGAUUGAACGCUGGCGGCAGGCCUAACACAUGCAAGUCGAACGGUAACAGGAAGCAGCUUGCUGCUUCGCUGACGAGUGGCGGACGGGUGAGUAAUGUCUGGGAAGCUGCCUGAUGGAGGGGGAUAACUACUGGAAACGGUAGCUAAUACCGCAUAAUGUCGCAAGACCAAAGAGGGGGACCUUCGGGCCUCUUGCCAUCGGAUGUGCCCAGAUGGGAUUAGCUUGUUGGUGGGGUAACGGCUCACCAAGGCGACGAUCCCUAGCUGGUCUGAGAGGAUGACCAGCCACACUGGAACUGAGACACGGUCCAGACUCCUACGGGAGGCAGCAGUGGGGAAUAUUGCACAAUGGGCGCAAGCCUGAUGCAGCCAUGCCGCGUGUAUGAAGAAGGCCUUCGGGUUGUAAAGUACUUUCAGCGGGGAGGAAGGGAGUAAAGUUAAUACCUUUGCUCAUUGACGUUACCCGCAGAAGAAGCACCGGCUAACUCCGUGCCAGCAGCCGCGGUAAUACGGAGGGUGCAAGCGUUAAUCGGAAUUACUGGGCGUAAAGCGCACGCAGGCGGUUUGUUAAGUCAGAUGUGAAAUCCCCGGGCUCAACCUGGGAACUGCAUCUGAUACUGGCAAGCUUGAGUCUCGUAGAGGGGGGUAGAAUUCCAGGUGUAGCGGUGAAAUGCGUAGAGAUCUGGAGGAGUACCGGUGGCGAAGGCGGCCCCCUGGACGAAGACUGACGCUCAGGUGCGAAAGCGGGGGGAGCAAACAGGAUUAGAUACCCUGGUAGUCCACGCCGUAAACGAUGUCGACUUGGAGGUUGUGCCCUUGAGGCGUGGCUUCCGGAGCUAACGCGUUAAGUCGACCGCCUGGGGAGUACGGCCGCAAGGUUAAAACUCAAAUGAAUUGACGGGGGCCCGCACAAGCGGUGGAGCAUGUGGUUUAAUUCGAUGCAACGCGAAGAACCUUACCUGGUCUUGACAUCCACGGAAGUUUUCAGAGAUGAGAAUGUGCCUUCGGGAACCGUGAGACAGGUGCUGCAUGGCUGUCGUCAGCUCGUGUUGUGAAAUGUUGGGUUAAGUCCCGCAACGAGCGCAACCCUUAUCCUUUGUUGCCAGCGGUCCGGCCGGGAACUCAAAGGAGACUGCCAGUGAUAAACUGGAGGAAGGUGGGGAUGACGUCAAGUCAUCAUGGCCCUUACGACCAGGGCUACACACGUGCUACAAUGGCGCAUACAAAGAGAAGCGACCUCGCGAGAGCAAGCGGACCUCAUAAAGUGCGUCGUAGUCCGGAUUGGAGUCUGCAACUCGACUCCAUGAAGUCGGAAUCGCUAGUAAUCGUGGAUCAGAAUGCCACGGUGAAUACGUUCCCGGGCCUUGUACACACCGCCCGUCACACCAUGGGAGUGGGUUGCAAAAGAAGUAGGUAGCUUAACCUUCGGGAGGGCGCUUACCACUUUGUGAUUCAUGACUGGGGUGAAGUCGUAACAAGGUA
Molecule: ribosomal RNA, 1500 nt
Filed under: metagenome
Description: bacterial SSU rRNA
Rfam family: Bacterial small subunit ribosomal RNA
Source: RNAcentral